UACGUAGGUGGCAAGCGUUGUCCGGAAUUAUUGGGCGUAAAGCGCGCGCAGGCGGUCCUUUAAGUCUGAUGUGAAAGCCCACGGCUCAACCGUGGAGGGUCAUUGGAAACUGGGGGACUUGAGUGCAGGAGAGAAGAGUGGAAUUCCACGUGUAGCGGUGAAAUGCGUAGAGAUGUGGAGGAACACCUGUGGCGAAGGCGCCUUGCUGGCCGAUUUCUGACGCUGAGGCGCGAAAGCGUGGGGAGCAAACAGG
RNAcentral lists this ribosomal RNA (253 nucleotides) under uncultured bacterium. RNAcentral's name for it is "partial 16S ribosomal RNA". It matches the Rfam family "Bacterial small subunit ribosomal RNA", at positions 524 to 776 of the family's 1533-position model. The record is from RNAcentral.